ACUUGAAAUAACUUUAUUUCUAUUUUUUCAAUCAACUUUAGAGGUUUUUUUCUUAGGAGUCGUUUAGUUACUUUAUUUUUUCACAUAGAUAAGGAUUCAUAACCAUGUUAAAUCUUGUGUUUGUUUGCCAUAUGUUCACUCGAUUUCGUCCAGUUUCGUAUAUCUAACUGCAUACCCACCGAUUGAGUUAAUUGCCCUCGCUUUCUGUGACCAAUAAUUCUAUUCUUCCCCUUUGCCCCCUCCCAUUUUCUAAUUUCAAAUUGAAUCAAAUUCAAUUUGAUUUCAAUGAAGAAAACCCUACUCCACAAGCUUCCCAGAAUCGGUGAAAUGAGUGACACAGCAACAAGAAGACAACGAUGGCCGAGAAUUGAAGCUUUACUACAUCGAAGAAAACCCUGCUGCACAAGCUUCCCACAAUCUACACAUUCGUGGUGAAAGGACGAACAAAUAGCUUUGCCAACAAAAACGGCGCAGGUGCUUACGAAAAAAAAUGACUGGUAAGUUUUGAAUUUUUCUGCUUCAUUGUGUGUUUCUAAUUUUUGUUGGUCAUCGAUUGUUUUGAGUUCAGUUGUAAUGUUUCCUGGUAGACCGAAAUGGAGUAUUACUCACCUGUGUCCGAUUGAGAAUGGGUCCCACCUCAUUAGAGAGAGGAGGCUUGUGCAUAUUCUUGUGGGACGGACUAAAAAGGAAAGAGUGCAUAUGUUUAGAGCACUUCAAUUUCUGAUAUAAGUAUUUUUCGAUGUCCGAUGUGAGUGUAUGAAGAGAAUUUGUUCUUUGUUAUAUGAUGUCAUUCCUUUGCAAUUAUGUUGUUGUUUUAUAUAUUGGUUAGAACAAUUUGUAUUCGCCGUAACGCCCUUUCCUCUCUCUUUCUCAAUCACAUAUUUGUUGAAGUUGUGUUAUCUCAUUUGUAUAUGUCACAGUAGCGUAUAUACUUGCUUGUUGUAGCGGUAGUUUGUGAGAUUCGUUCUGUUGAUAACGACGAUUUUUUUCCUUUGUUUUCUGUGCAGAAAAUUUAACGCGUCAUUUCUGAAAUGUUUCAUUUAUGGCACCUACGUUAUCUACCUCCACACCCAUUUACGUUUUGUUAGAAGACAUAAUAAACAUUUUCCAUUUACAAAGUAGCAUACUUAUGUAUUUCUAUUUGAGGCACGGUAGACAGUUUAUUAGGCAUUACUCACUUAUAAAUUGAAUUCCACCACAAGUCCAGCAGAUGAACAGCCUUGUAUCCGUGAGCGACAUUGAUUGCUUAGUGAACCUCCGUAUGGAUAGGAAUACAUUUGAGAGAUUGUGUGCUCUGUUAGUUGUUAUCAGACUACACACCAUUUUGUUUCCUAAACCAGAACCUGUCACGGAUGAUAAUGACAACCGAAGGUGGAAAUAUUUUAAGGUACUAUGUUCCCUACGAGGAUAAUUUAGUUUAGUAAUGCAUGGAUAAUACAGUGCUACAUGUAUCCACUUCUAUUGUACGAUCAUCUUUUUGUUUUUAUUUGUAAUGAUGCGUAGGGGUGUAUUGGAGCCUUAGACGGGACGUAUAUCAACGUCCUUGUCGGCAACAUGGACAAGCCACGUUACCGCAAUCGAACAGGACAAAUUGCGACUAACACCCUUUCUGUUUGUGACCGAAAAAUAAGAUUCAUGUUUUUUUACCUGGGUUGAAAGGCUCAGCCGGUUGCUCGGGUGCUUCGAGAUAAGGUCACCAGGGGAAGAUGAUCUGAAGAUUCCUAAAGGUUGUCAUAUGUCUUACAUUAUGUAAAACUUGCAUAUUCCUCGUUCAAGGAUUUCUCCCACCCUUCAAAGGUGUCCGUUAUUAUUUCAAUGAAUGAGGAGUAGGCACCCAGAGACUCUAGAAUACCCGUGAGUUGUUCAGUCUACGGAACACUAAAGCACGUAAUAUAAUCAAGCGUGCUUUUGCUGUGUUAAACAUGUGAUGGGAUGUGCUUCAGAUUGCCAACUUUUUUCUAAUUAAAACACAGAUCAUGGCCUGAUUCUUAUUGCAUAAUUUUAUCCAAGGAGAAAUGACACGCGAUCCAGUUGAGGAGGCAUUGGAUAUAGGGACACAUGAUGCUGUUGAACACGAUGACUACGGUGACAUAGAAUACAUCGACCAUGUGGAACCAACAUCUGAUUGGAAUCGAAUGCGGAAAUAUAUGGAAAAUUUGUUGUGGUUAAAUGUGUGUUUCCUCAUGUUAGGGACAAUAAUCUUCUACCCUCCAGGAGUGUGUUUUUUGGGAAUAAUUUCGAUUCUUGUAAAAUAAAUUUCAAUUCGUUUAUUAUAUGUUGUGUG
Molecule: long non-coding RNA, 2284 nt
Organism: Salvia splendens (bonfire salvia)
Lineage: Eukaryota; Viridiplantae; Streptophyta; Magnoliopsida; Lamiales; Lamiaceae
Exons: 3
Source: RefSeq, a predicted model, not a curated record